RNAcentral lists this ribosomal RNA (202 nucleotides) under Staphylococcus aureus. Its description in RNAcentral is "partial 23S ribosomal RNA". It matches the Rfam family "Bacterial large subunit ribosomal RNA", at positions 252 to 449 of the family's 2925-position model. Lineage: Bacteria; Bacillati; Bacillota; Bacilli; Caryophanales; Staphylococcaceae. The record is from RNAcentral.
AGCGAAACGGGAAGAGCCCAAACCAACAAGCUUGCUUGUUGGGGUUGUAGGACACUCUAUACGGAGUUACAAAGGACGACAUUAGACGAAUCAUCUGGAAAGAUGAAUCAAAGAAGGUAAUAAUCCUGUAGUCGAAAAUGUUGUCUCUCUUGAGUGGAUCCUGAGUACGACGGAGCACGUGAAAUUCCGUCGGAAUCUGGGA